AGUCUUUUUUUUUUUUUUUUAAAAAAAACUAAAAAAACAACAAUCCUCAAUACAUGCAGUUCAGGGUUAAAUAUCACAUUUGUAGCACAUUGUUGAGUCUCAACACGAAAAUAUGCAUCACCUGUAUAAUCCCAUCACAUAUUUUUCCAGCCUCUACAAUAUCUAGUUGGGGGUGUUUUCAUUUACACAUCCACAUAGCUCAGAAGCAUGUUAUUACUGGUUGAUCUGGCCCCAUGCUUCCCUGCCACGUCCCCUGCCCUG
Molecule: long non-coding RNA, 261 nt
Organism: Sapajus apella (tufted capuchin)
Lineage: Eukaryota; Metazoa; Chordata; Mammalia; Primates; Cebidae
Exons: 2
Source: RefSeq, a predicted model, not a curated record